AAAGUCAUAACAAGGUUUCCGUAGGUGAACCUGCGGAAGGAUCAUUAAUAGUGCUCAUUGACGCAAGUCAGUGAGUUAGAUCAUGAUAGAAUCGGGGCGGCAGAGAUACUUCGCUCUGGUUCUAUCUUCCAUACACACCGUGAACUGUGGCUUCGGCCAUCACAAACUGUUAGUAAUGAAUGUAAUAUCAUAACAAAAACAAAACUUUUAACAACGGAUCUCUUGGCUCUC
RNAcentral lists this unclassified non-coding RNA (231 nucleotides) under Basidiomycota sp. RNAcentral describes it as "partial contains small subunit ribosomal RNA, internal transcribed spacer 1, and 5.8S ribosomal RNA". The stretch from base 1 to 47 matches the Rfam family "Eukaryotic small subunit ribosomal RNA", at positions 1785 to 1831 of the family's 1831-position model. Lineage: Eukaryota; Fungi; Basidiomycota. The record is from RNAcentral.